This is a long non-coding RNA of Hyla sarda, 270 nucleotides long. RefSeq lists it as uncharacterized. The transcript has 3 exons. Lineage: Eukaryota; Metazoa; Chordata; Amphibia; Anura; Hylidae. The record is from RefSeq and is a predicted model, not a curated record.
AGGCUUUGCAAUUAACACUGAAUUAAUGGAGAGAUUCCAGAGACGUUCUUGGCACAAUGAAUUGGACAGUUGGAUACGCCCACAUAAGACUAAACAAGCGUUUAAAUCCUCAAAUGAAGGUUUGGAUGGCAUAUCUGUGCUUGGGGUGGGCACUUUCACCAGUUGUGCUAAUGCAUCUAUCCAGUGACUUUCAAGACAUAAUCAGCAGAUGGUGCUGUUAUAAUGAUGAUAUCAUCUAUUCAUGUUAUCUAAUAAAAUCAAAGAUUUCAC